This 622-nucleotide ribosomal RNA is filed under the name Pristipomoides multidens (goldbanded jobfish). RNAcentral describes it as "partial large subunit ribosomal RNA". It matches the Rfam family "Bacterial large subunit ribosomal RNA", at positions 1796 to 2620 of the family's 2925-position model. Lineage: Eukaryota; Metazoa; Chordata; Actinopteri; Lutjaniformes; Lutjanidae. The record is from RNAcentral.
UCGCCUGUUUAUCAAAAACAUCGCCUCUUGCAAAACUAAUGAAUAAGAGGUCCCGCCUGCCCUGUGACUAUAAGUUUAACGGCCGCGGUAUUUUGACCGUGCGAAGGUAGCGCAAUCACUUGUCUUUUAAAUGAAGACCUGUAUGAAUGGCAUGACGAGGGCUUAGCUGUCUCCUCUUUCAAGUCAAUGAAAUUGAUCCCCCCGUGCAGAAGCGGGGAUGAGCCCAUAAGACGAGAAGACCCUAUGGAGCUUUAGACACCAAGACGGAUUAUGUUAAAGACCCCAACACAAUGGGCCAAACUGAGUAAGUCCCGUCCUAAUGUCUUUGGUUGGGGCGACCCCGGGGAAACACAAAACCCCCGCGCGGAAUGAGAUUACUACCUCUUACAAGCAAGAGCUCCCGCUCUAGCAAACGGAAUUUCCGACCAAUAAGAUCCGGCCCCAAGGCCGAUCAACGGACCGAGUUACCCUAGGGAUAACAGCGCAAUCCCCUUUUAGAGCCCAUAUCGACAAGGGGGUUUACGACCUCGAUGUUGGAUCAGGACAUCCUAAUGGUGCAGCCGCUAUUAAGGGUUCGUUUGUUCAACGAUUAAAGUCCUACGUGAUCUGAGUUCAGACCGGA